This is a long non-coding RNA of Chrysemys picta bellii (western painted turtle), 2010 nucleotides long. Lineage: Eukaryota; Metazoa; Chordata; Testudines; Emydidae. The record is from Ensembl.
UUAAUAGGCAACAGGUUUAAAACAAACAAAAGGAAGUAUUUCUUCACACAAUGCACAGUCAACCUGUGGAACUCUUUGCCAGAGGAUGUUGUGAAGGCCAAGACUAUAAUAGGGUUUAAAAAAAAUCUGGAUAAAUUUAUGGAGGAUAGGUCCAUCAAUGGCUAUUAGCCAGGAUGGCAGGGAUGGUGUCCCUGCCCUCUGUUUGGCAGAAGCUGGGAAUGGGUGACAGGGGAUGGAUCACUUGAUGAUUACGUGUUCUGUUCAUUCCCUCUGGUGCACCAGGCAUUGGUAGCUGUCGGAAGACAGGAUACAGGGUUCGAUGGACCUUUGUUCUGACCCAAUAUGGUCGUUCUUAUGUCCCGCAAAUGGGGAAAAGGGAACCAGCAAACUGUUUGGAGGUGGGAAGAUGAGGCAGGUAAGGUAAUGGGCAGUGCUUACACACUCACAAUGUGAUCCUAAAAUCAACCACUUUUUCAAGUUUAAUGGAAAUAUUGGUUGGGGGUAACUUUAUGUAAACUUCCUAUAUUUAAGAGAAGGGGAGUGGAAGUGAGGGAGAUCCUCCAUGUGCUUUAAUGAAGAAUUUUAUUGGCAGACUAUUGUAAUAGAAAUAUGGGAUGCAAUAGCCACAAAAACUGUAAGUCAAAGAACGAUAAGGUGAAAACAGUUGUGUUCUCUGCUUUUUCAGCACAGCUAUUCCAGUCUCCCACUUAUAAAAGGCUGAUCAAGAAGUUAAACGGUUGAUGGGUGGCUGUGGCUGCUGUCUUUUGAGAUACAUGCUCUGCAAGCUGAACUCAAUUUCCAUAGAAGCAUGUACAACCUCCAAGUUAAGUACACUGAAGCUGUUUUUGAGGGGAUAAAGCAAGCCUACCACACUUUUCAAGAGAAUGUUGUGUCAGUUCUAUGUUCACCGCUACAAGAUGUUCUUUCUUCUUACAUAAACCUUAAAGCGGAAACUUCAGUGGUUGCUUUAAGGGACUUUCUCACUGCUUUUAAAAACAAUGCCAAACAGAUCCAAGAUACAGUUGACACUUACACUCCAUCAAAGAAUCAGCAGCACAAAGGUGAUGAGGCCCUGUCAAGGUUUGGAAAAGAAUUCUUCCUCUCUUUGGAGCAUUCACUCAAAGACUGUGGGGAACAACGGGAUAAAGCAGCCAGCGAAAUGGAAACCUUACAAACUGAACUGGUACUGGCCUUUGAAAACCUUCAGAGCUUAAGAAAGGAACGAAAAGAGAAGAAAGCAGAAUCCAUUCCUCAUUUUACAAAGUCUGAAGGAGGGGAGAGUGCAGGAGGAGGAGCUGCAAGUGGCUUGGAUAUGAUUUCAAAAGAUAACCCAGUGCCAGAUUCAACACCUCUGCUGCCUCCACACAGUGAGAGUCUUUUGCCCAAACAUGUGUCUGUGAUGGCAGAAGCAUCUAGCAACUCAUCAGCCAAGCUGCAGCAGCAGAGUUCUAAGGGGUUAGCCCUUCACCAGAAGGGGAAGAGCUCCCACAGGAGUAAGAGCAUGAAGACCCCACUGCAAGGCCACCUUGGCAAGAUUAACCAUCACUUUAUCUUUAAUAUCUUUUUCUUCAAAAAUGGUCUGAGCUAGUUUGUAAUAUUCUGUGUUAUGAUGAACUCAGGGGCAAGGGGCAGUCCUGCAAGGUGUUGGGAAAAGAAUUAAGUCAAGGGGGCUGAGGGCAUUCAACACCUUGUAAAUGGUGUUGGAAAUCUCAUAGGGGGCCCGAUCAAAGCUCAUUGAAGUCAAUGACAGAAUUCCCAUCCAUGGGCUUUGGAUCAGGUCCUUAGUAUUCAUGCUAGAAUGCAUGAAACCAGGAGGACAGAAAUAGAGGGCUGGUGUUAAACUAGAAUGAAUAGCUUUUGAAGAGGUAAUAUCCGCACUCAGCACAUGGACUGUACUAAUGUUAUGCUGGAUGUAUGUGCUGUUUCAUCACAGAUGUGUUUUUACACUUUAUGAAGAUUAUAGAAUGACUAAAAAAAUAAAUCACUGGCACCAGGCUUGGUUUUGUUUCA